RNA transcript from Populus trichocarpa (black cottonwood), 1192 nucleotides. RefSeq lists it as uncharacterized. Lineage: Eukaryota; Viridiplantae; Streptophyta; Magnoliopsida; Malpighiales; Salicaceae. The transcript has 4 exons. The record is from RefSeq and is a predicted model, not a curated record.
CUGUCUCUCUCUUCUUUUCAAUAUCCACAACCAAAAUCUUUCCUUAGUAAUCUCCCUGUAUCUGUAUCACCGAAAACAUCCUUUGAUGGCUCGCUCUCUUUCUGUUUCUCUAACAAAAACAUAUUGCUUAACAUCACCAACGAGAUUCUCUUCUCGUUUGCUUACCCUUAGAGCACAAUCAAACAUUCCUAACAGCAACAGUCCAUCAGAAACUGAUGAUUCCUCUUCUGCCUCUUCGUCAACCGACCCCUUGCUUAGAAAGCUAGAAGAUGCAAUCCAUCGGAUCAUUGUGCGGCGUGCUGCACCUGAUUGGCUACCUUUCUUGCCCGGAUCUUCUUACUGGGUCCCAUCUCCUAGAUCUACAUCUGGCUCUCUUGGGAUUGCUCAUCUCGUUGAGAAAUUGGCUAAUCCUUUGUCCGAUGAGGAGUCCCUUUCCACCACUACUGUUAGAGGAUGGCCCUCCUCUGAUUACUUUGUUAAAGGUGCACCUGCACAUAUGAUGGAGUUAAAGUUGACUUCAAAGGAAGUAGAGUCAGAUACUACUUCAAGUAAUGUGUCUCACUCUGAGGAUGAGGAAGGGUAGAUCAAGAUUCUUACAAAAUUAGCUUCUGGGCUCAUCCAAGCAUGUAAAUUUUGUGUAGAAUCAAGAAAAAGUGAAACAAGUCAAACACCAACUGAAUCACAAUUUGAUCAAACUGGAGCUUUUCAGAUGCGACUUGGUGUGGUAGCAAAUGUGUUGUUUGUGAUGCCCUUUCUAGCUUGCUGGCUAUGGUGUUUUUUAUUUUUAGUUCAGUGUCUCAUGUGCCAUAUGGUCUGGUCUGCUGCUGCAGCUCAUUUUUCCUCUCAGUGCUAUGUUUUUCGGUGCAUUGAAGGUCCUGUGUUCUGUGAUGGUUGGAUGCCUUAAAGGUUCUCUGUGCAGAUUGCAUUUGUUCUUUUCAGCAUCAUGUCUUCUGCAAGCUUAGAUGCAGAUUUGCUGAUGAUUCUUGCUCGAGUUGUUUUUAGCUGUCUUCGUCUUCGGGUUGGUGAUUUGCAGUACCCAAAUCUGGUUUAGUUUGGGUUUUUGUUUCAUCUCUUUGUUUUAAUCACCCGGUUUCUGCUGUAUUUUGCUGCAGAUCAGUCGUGCAUGUUGGCCAUCUCUGUUGACUGUUGCUUCAGCUUAUCUUUCUUUCUUUAUUUGAGCUGCGCUUUUUUA